RNAcentral lists this ribosomal RNA (253 nucleotides) under uncultured bacterium. RNAcentral's name for it is "partial 16S ribosomal RNA". It matches the Rfam family "Bacterial small subunit ribosomal RNA", at positions 524 to 776 of the family's 1533-position model. The record is from RNAcentral.
UACGGGGGGGGCAAGCGUUGUUCGGAAUUACUGGGCGUAAAGGGCUCGUAGGCGGCCAACUAAGUCAGACGUGAAAUCCCCCGGCUUAACCUGGGAACUGCGUCUGAUACUGGGAGGCUUGAGUAUGGGAGAGGGAUGUAGAAUUCCAGGUGUAGCGGUGAAAUGCGUAGAUAUCAGGAGGAACACCGGUGGCGAAGGCGGGUCUCUGGGCCGAUACUGACGCUGAGGAGCGAAAGCGUGGGGAGCAAACAGG